GCGGUGGAUGAUGUGGAUUAAUUCGAUGCAACGCGAAAACCUUACCUACCCUUGACAUGUCUGGAACCUUGGUGAGAGCCGAGGGUGCCUUCGGGAGCCAGAACACAGGUGCUGCAUGGCUGUCGUCAGCUCGUGUCGUGAGAUGUUGGGUUAAGUCCCGCAACGAGCGCAACCCUUGUCACUAGUUGCCAUCAUUUGGUUGGGCACUCUAGUGAGACUGCCGGUGACAAACCGGAGGAAGGUGGGGAUGACGUCAAGUCCUCAUGGCCCUUAUGACCUGGGCUACACACGUGCUACAAUGGUUGGUACAACGAGUUGCGAGUCGGUGACGGCGAGCUAAUCUCUUAAAGCCAAUCUCAGUUCGGAUUGUAGGCUGCAACUCGCCUACAUGAAGUCGGAAUCGCUAGUAAUCGCGGAUCAGCACGCCGCGGUGAAUACGUUCCCGGGCCUU
This 451-nucleotide ribosomal RNA is filed under the name uncultured Thauera sp. RNAcentral's name for it is "bacterial SSU rRNA". It matches the Rfam family "Bacterial small subunit ribosomal RNA", at positions 929 to 1382 of the family's 1533-position model. Lineage: Bacteria; Pseudomonadati; Pseudomonadota; Betaproteobacteria; Rhodocyclales; Zoogloeaceae. The record is from RNAcentral.